AACGGUGUAGCUUAGUGGCAGAGCAACGGUAUAUAGCCGUAGGGCGGCGGUCCGAAUCCGUCCACCGUUCCCA
Molecule: transfer RNA, 73 nt
Filed under: Muribaculaceae bacterium
Lineage: Bacteria; Pseudomonadati; Bacteroidota; Bacteroidia; Bacteroidales; Muribaculaceae
Description: tRNA-OTHER
Rfam family: tRNA
About the family: Transfer RNA (tRNA) molecules are approximately 80 nucleotides in length.
Source: RNAcentral